GACGAACCGAGCGAACGUUGUUCGGAAUCACUGGGCUUAAAGGGCGCGUAGGCGGGCCGCCGCGUCCGGGGUGAAAUCCUCCCGCUCAACGGGAGAACGGCCUCGGAUACGGGCGGCCUGGAGGGGGGUAGGGGCGUGCGGAACUAACGGUGGAGCGGUGAAAUGCGUUGAUAUCGUUAGGAACUCCGGUGGCGAAGGCGGCACGCUAGACCUCUUCUGACGCUGAGGCACGAAAGCCAGGGGAGCGAACGGG
RNAcentral lists this ribosomal RNA (253 nucleotides) under uncultured bacterium. RNAcentral describes it as "partial 16S ribosomal RNA". It matches the Rfam family "Bacterial small subunit ribosomal RNA", at positions 524 to 776 of the family's 1533-position model. The record is from RNAcentral.